AGUCCCGCAGCCGAGCGCAGCCGGGCGCGCGCCGCCGCCCACUCGCCCUGUGCCCGCCGCAGCCCGAAACUGGCCACGGCCGGGAGCGGAGGGGACAGCGGGGAUCGUGAGCUCCGGCCCGAGCGAGCGGGUGCGUCUGCCGCGGAGUCGGCACCUGAAGGACAUGGAGCCUGGAGACAUCCAAAUGACCCCAGCACACGAAUGGCCCUUCUCUGAGUGAGUGUCUUCGUGGCUGGAGGCCAGAAUCACACUCCAGCUAGCUCUUGUGGUUCCAAAGACUCCCAUUUGUAAAUUCCUCUGACAUGAAGAUGCAAUACCAGCCCAUCUGCUCUGCCAACCUAUUCUGCAAGAUGGGAAUGAAAAUGACUUGGCAAUAGCAGAUCCCUGCCACCCCCUACAAUUCUUCAGGGCCAAACUGGCAACAGCCUGGUAUCUCUACAAGGAGUGCGAGGGAGCCCACAUUUUGACUAACACCUACUGUGUGUCAGUUGGUAUCUUAGGUGACAACAACAUUAGCUAAAAUGAGGGGAGAGCUUAUUAUGUGCCAGGCACUGUGCUGGGGCUUUAUAUGCAAUAUCUCAUUUGGGCUUUAUCACAAUUCUAAAAAAUAAGUGCUAUUAUAAAUGUUUAUUUUACAAGUGGGGAAACUAAGGCUCAGUAAAGUCAAGUGUCUUGCCUAAGAUCACACAUCUAGUAAAAGGCAAGGUCUGGAUGUGAACCCAAACUGUCUAAUCAAACACCAUCUCCUAGUAUCCCCAUGACCUUGUAGGGGGUGUUAUUAUCCUCAUUUUACAGAUGAGAGUCUGAACAGUAAAGUCAAUUGCCUAGUAUCCCACAACUCAUCAAUUAUAGAGUGGGAUCCAAACCUGGUCUUGUCAAGCUCCAAGUUCUGUGCUGUCUCCACUAUCUUGCUGCAUGAGUCCUGGCAGCCGCCCUGGGCUGGAGAGGAGUGGCUGGAUGUGGCCUGCUCCCAGCAGCUGCCAGAGGCUGCCAGCCUCCUGCAGCCACAGCACAUUCCUGCUCACGCCCUGAGGCACACAGAGCUGGCAUCCUGAGACUAAGCCAGGUUCCUAGCCUUAGGGCAAAUGAAAGACCUCCUGCAGGCUGAGUGCACCUCAGCUUUUGUAUUUGAACUAUCAUGAGCACUUUAAAAUGUUUUAAUCACCUUUUUCAGGUAAAACAUAUGUACAAUAAAAUUCACCCAUUUUAAGUGUAUACAUUGAUGAGUGUUGACAAAUGUAUACAGUCAUAUAGCCACCACCACGAGAUGUAGACCAUGAUCAAGGUAUAGAGCAUUUCUGGCUGGGUGUUAUGGUUCAUGCCUGUAAUCCUUGCACUUUGGGAGGCUGGCAGAUCACUUGAGGUCAGGAGUUUGAGACCAGCCUGGCCAACAUGGCAAAACUCUGUCUCUACUACAAAUACAAAAAUUGGCCCGGUGCAGUGGCUCACGCUUAUAAUCCCAGCACUUUGGGAGGCCGAGGCGGGUGGAUCACCUGAGGUUGGGAAUUCAAGACCAGCCUGACCAACCUGGAGAAACCUUGUCUCUGCUAAAAAUACAAAUUAGCCAGGCGUGGUGGCGCAUGCCUGUAAUCUGAGCUACUCAGGAGACUGAGGCACGAGAAUCUCUUGAACUCAGGAGGUGGAGGUUGCAGUGAGCAGAGAUCGUGCCACUGCACUCCAGCCUGGGUGACGAAGUGAGACUCUGUGUCACA
RNAcentral lists this small RNA (1712 nucleotides) under Pongo abelii (Sumatran orangutan). Its description in RNAcentral is "processed transcript". Lineage: Eukaryota; Metazoa; Chordata; Mammalia; Primates; Hominidae. The record is from RNAcentral.